Non-coding RNA from Callithrix jacchus (white-tufted-ear marmoset), 29202 nucleotides. The record is from RefSeq and is a predicted model, not a curated record. Lineage: Eukaryota; Metazoa; Chordata; Mammalia; Primates; Cebidae.
AGUCUGGUAGUGCUUUUCUCACCUUUCUCAUCCCCCUCCCUGUCAGUCAUUUUUUUUUUCAUAGCACAGAUUCUGUGCUGUUGUUUUAAAUAAUUUUGUUUUCAACUUUAAUUGAACUUUUAAAUUAUUCCAUUUUAUGUUCUGUGAUACUUAGGGGUCUUAUUGUGGCCUAAAGACUCCUGUUCUAAUUUUUUUUUCUGUCUACACCGUUUUGUUAGAAAUAGGUAAUAUAAUCUUUCCUUACACUAUGUUUUAAGUCAUGGGAAAUAAGCAGUGUGUGUCAGAAUUGCUUUUAAGUUUUUAGAAAUCUGCUUUUAUAAUAGAUACCAUUUUGCUAACAGUAAUUUUUAAAUCCUUACUUCAGCUGGUUUUUGUUCACUAUGCAGAUGAAAUAUUACCCAACAUGCGGAAUAUAUGUAAUGAUCUCAUUUAAAGCUUUGACAAUGUGGCAAUUUGUGUCUUAAGAAAUUCUGUUGCUUAGACUUCCUACAUCAAGACAUUGAAUUAUGGGUUAAGGUUUAUGUCUAUAUUUCAAAGGGAAAGAAGUUGGAAAGAUGAAAAAGAUUAACCCUUUAAAAAUUAUCUUAAUUAACCUAGGGUGUGUUUCUAAUUGUUUUAAUCAACCUAGGGUGUGUACUCAACAGUUACUAAUUGUACAGCUAGCCUCAGGUAUCUCAUGCAGCUUAGACAUUUUCCAUUGGCAAAUUCAGACUGGGGUGAUCUUAAUCAGGAAUAUGAGGGUAAAAGAAAAGCCAAACUGCUUAUCUUUGAAAAGAUACUAUUUCUUGUUUAGUUUUCCAUCCUUAAGUAGGUGCUAGAUUGUAAUACACAGAAAACGCUAUGUUAAUCCUAGAACUCUAUGCAGACCUAGAAGGCAAAUACAGUGACUGCAAAGUAGGACAUUCUUUUUACUCAGUAAAGUUAAGGAAUAGCAUUUAUCAUUUCGGUACAAAAGAAAAUCAAAGAAAAGAAAAAAAAAAUUGGCAAUUGAAAGAGCCGUAAACAUUUUUUUUCUAUUAUGUUACUGAAGAUCGCUUUAAAAAAAAAAACGAAUAGGAGAGUGAUAAAAUAAUACUAAAAAGAAGGGAACUCAUAUUUUGCUCCCCUUUUGUAUGAAAUGCCAGUGAUAUCAAAGCAUUAAAAAGAAAAAAAAUUGUGGAGUUAUGUUAGGAAUUUAGCUUGAAAUAAGUCACUUUAAUGUGAUUUUUUAAAAGACAGUAAGUAUUGUUUGCAUUUAGUAUAAGCUACAGUCAUGAUACAUUAGAAUCAUGAGUUAAAUUUUUUACAUUUUUUUCAAAUAUUGAGACCUAUAUAGAUAGAUGCAUAUCAAAGGGAUAGAAUGUGGUUUAUAGGGAAAAAUUUAACUUGGUUGUUGUAACCAAUCGAGUUGAAUGGAAAGCACCACACUCUGAGUUUGAAUUAUGAGUCCUUUAUUGCCGGUGACUGAGCGUUAGCUCACGCUCCAAAUCUCUCCGCCUCGAGGAAGGUAUUUGAUUUCCUUUUAUAUAUUGCUCAGGGUAAAGGGGCAAAGCGGAAUUUUACAGAAGCAGAAUAAGCAAGUUAGGGGAGGAGGCUGGUAACUAGGAGGCACGAGGCUCCCAUGAUUGUUGAUUAACUAAGGAGGGUAUACACAAGCGGUUCCCACAAUUGCUGGUUAACGGGGUGGGGGCGGGGGCGCAUUCAGUGCUUUCCAUACUCAAUCAAGGGGGUAUUCACAAUACCAGGUGGGCUUGUCAAGCAGGAUAGGGUUACAACAGUUAUAUGUUUCUAUAGCUCUAAGUACAACAUGACCCAGCACAGGAACAUGACUGAGGUAUGCACUCAGGAGAAAUGGUGGUGGGGGGAGGUGAGGCGGAGGUUAAGAUGGAGUCUGACAUUUAGCAAAAUGGAGUCUGUCUGGCUAAUACAGGGUAGGUUAACACAUGGUGAGCAAAACUGGCUAGAAUAAACUGAAUAAGCAUAUUACUGGUACAAAGUAAACAUCUAUUGCCCAGUGUUUUGGUUAUAGCCUUCCAAUACAACUUUAUGAAUUCUUCAACCUCUCAGGGUUUUAAAUCUGUAUUCCAGCGGGAGGUAUUGAAUUACCAAUAUUAACCAUCCUUCACCACCACUCCCUACUGCCAAAUAGUGGGAAUUUAUACUAUUUAAAGAGCUUUGGAUUUCAUAUAGGGAACUAGAUUCUAGUCCUGUUUGUGAUCUUGUAUACUCAGAGACAGUUUUGUAUGUUUUUUUUUUCCUCCCAGAUAAUUACAUAGGGCUAGAUCUUCUUGGGUCUCUCUGUUUCACUUUUAAAAUUAACUUUAUUAAAGUAUAAAUUAUAUGUAAUAAAAUUCAUCAAAUGUAAGUAUGUAGCUUGAUGUAUUGGAAAUGUAUGUAGUUGUGAACAACUACCACAAUCAAAACAAAGGAAUAUUUCUAUCAUUCCCUUUACGGUUCACCAACCCCAACCCCAGGAACCUGUCUGCUUUCUGUCACAAUAGUUUUACCUCUUCUAGAAUUUAAUAUAAAUGAAAUUGUAAGGUAUGUGACUUUUAUGUCUGGCUUCUUUCACUUAGCAUAUCUAGUCACUUUUUUGAUGAUUUUUGAAAGUUUUAUUUGUAAUUGAUACAUCAAAUCAGAAUAAUUAGCUAACACAUUGAUUGCCUCAAACACAUAUUAUUUCUUUCUGGUGAGAGCAUUCAAAAUCCUCUCUUCUAGUUAUUUUCAAAUAUACAAGACAUUAUUGUUAAUUGUAGUCACCCUACUGUGCAAUGUAACACUAGAAUUUAUUCUUCCUAUCUAAGGGUAACUUUGUAUCUGUCGAUCAUUCUCUUCCUAUCACCAUGUUCCCAAUCCCCUCGUUAGCCUCUGGUAACCACUAUUCUAUUCUCAGUUUCUAUGAGAUGAACUUUUUUAGAUUCCACGUAUGAGUGAGAUCAUGUGGUGUUUGUCUUUCUGUGUCUGGCUUAUUUCACUUAACAUAAUGUCCUGCAGGUUCAUCCAUGUUGUCCCAAAUGACAAUUUUAUUUUUUUUAAUGGCUGAAUAGUGUUUUUGUUUUGUGAGACAAAAUCUCACUGCCGCCCAGGAUGGAGUGCAGUGGUGUGAUCUUGACUCACUGCAACCUCUGCCUCCUGGGUUCAAGUGAUUCUCGUGCCUCAGCCUCCCGAGUAGCUAGGAUUACAGACGCCCGCCACCAGGCCCGGCUAAUUUUUGUAUUUUUGGUAGAGACGGGGUUUCAGUGUUUUAGCCGGGAUGGUAUCGAUCUCUUGACCUCAUGAUCCACCCACCUUGGCCUCCCAAAGUGCUGGGAUUACAGGUGUGAGCCACCACGCCUGGCCUGAAUAGUGUUAUUUUUGUACAUUUAGGGGAUACAAGUGUGUUUUAUUACAUGAAUAUAUUUCAUAGUAGUGGAGUCUGGGCUUUUUAGUUAACCAUCACCUGAAUAGUAGACAUUGUAUCCAUGAGUUAAUUUCUCCUCCAUCAUCCCUUUUCACCCUGUUACCUUUCUGAGUCUCCAGUGUCUAUUAUUCUAUGCUGUAUGUCCAUGUGUAUACAUUAUUUAUUUCCAUUUGUAAGUGAGAGUAUGCAGUAUUUGACUUUCUGAGUUAUUUUACUUAAGAUAACAUCCUCUAGUUUUAUCCAUGUUGCUGCAGAAGACAUAAUUUCAUUCUUUUUAAUGGCUGAGUAAUAUUUCCUGGUGUGUAUACACACCAUUUUUUUAAAUUUAGUCAUUUAUCAGUGGACACUUAGGUUGAUUCCAUAUCUUUGCUAUUGUGAAUAAUGCUAUGAGAAAUAUAUGAAUACAGGUAUCUUUGAUAUAAUUAUUUUUCCUUUGGGUAGAUACUCAGUAGUAGGAUUGCUGGAUUGAAUGGCAGUUCUAUUUUUAGUUCUUUGAGAAAUCUGCAUACCAUUUUUCAUGCAGGUUGUACUAAUUUCCAUUCCCACCAGUAGUUGUAAGUUUCCCCUUUUCUCCACAUCCUCACCAAUAUCUGUUAUUUUCUGACUUUUUAAUAGCCAUUCUGACUGGUGUAAAAUGGUAUCUCAUUGUGGUUUUAAUUUUAAAUUCUCUGAUGAUUGGUGAUGUUGAGCGUUUUUUUCAUAUGUUAGCCAUUUGUGUGUCUUCUUUUGAAAAAUGUCCAUUCAUGUCCUUUGCUCGCUUUUUUUUUUUUUUUUUUUUUUUAGAUGGAGUCUCACUCUGUAGCCCAGGCUGGAGUGCGUGGUAUGAUCUUGGCUCACUGCAGUCUCUGCCUCUCAGGUCCCAGUUCAAGCAAUUCUCCUGCCUCAGCCUCCGGAGUAGGAUUACAGGCACGUGCCGCCAUGCCCAGCUAUUUUUUUUUUUUUUUAAUAUUUUUAGUAGAGAUGGCAUUUCACCAUGUUGCCCAGGCUGGUCUUGAACUCCUGAUUUUGUGAUUUGCCCACCUUGGCCUCCCAAAGUGCUGGGAUUACAGGUAUGAACCACCUGGCCCUUUGCUCACUUUUUAAUAGAGUUAUUUUUUGUUUUGUUUUGUUUUCUUGUUAGGUUGUUUGAGUUCCUUGUAGAUUCUGGAUAUUUUCCUUUGUCUGAUGCAUAGUUUGCAAAUAUUUUCUUCCAUUCUGUAGGUUGUCUUUUUACUCAGUUGAUUAUUCCUUUUGCUGUGCGGAAGCUUUGUAGUUUAAUUAAGUCCCAUUUGUCUCUUGUUAUUUUUGUUGCAUUUGCUUUUGAGAUCUUAGUCCUGAAUUCUUUGCUUAGGCCAAUGACUAGAAAGGUUCUUUCCAGGUUUUCUUCUAGAAUUUUUAAAUUCUUCAGGUCUUAAAUUUAAGUUUUUUGUUUUUUUGUUUUUAGACAAGAGUCUCACUCUGUUGCCCAGGCUGGAGUACAAUGAUACGGUCUAGGCUCAUUGUAACCUCCACCUCCUGGGUUCAAAUGAUUCUCCUGCGUCAGCCUUCUGAGUAGCUGGGAUUACAGGUGCCUGCCAGCACACCCAGCUAAUUUUUUGUAUUUUUAGUAGAGAUGGGGUUUCAUGAUGUUGGCCAGGCUGGAAAUUUAAAUUUUUCAUCCUUAUUAUUUUUCUUUCUCCUCAAUCCAUCUUGAGUUAAUUUUGUAAAUGAUGAGAGAUACGGAUCCAAUUUCAUUCUUCUGCAUAUGGCUGUCUGAUUUUCCCAGCACCAUAUGUUGAAUAGGGUGUCCUUUUCUCAGUGCAUGUUUCUAUCAACUUCGUUGGAGAUGAGGAGGCUGUAGGUAUGUGACUUUAUUUCUGGGUUUUCUAUUUUGUUUCAUUGAUCCGUGUGUCUGUUUUUAUACAAGUACCAUACUGUUUUGUUACUAUAGACUUGUAGUAUAAUUUGAUGUUAGGUAAUGGAAUACCUCCAGUAUUGCUCUUUCUACCUGGGAUUGCUUUGGCUGUCUUUUUUGGUUCCAUAAAAGAUUUUUUUUUUUCUAACUCUCUGAAAAAAUGACAUUGGUAUUUUUAUAGGAAAUACAUUGACUCUGUAGACUGCUUUUGGCAGUGUGGUCAUUUUAAUGAUAUUGAUUCUUCCAAUCUAUGAACAUGGAAUGUUUUUUUUCAUUAGUUUGUGUCAUCUGCAAUUUCUUUAUUUGGUGUUUUGAAGUUUUGCUUGGCUUUCACCUCCUUGGUUAAUUGUAUUCUCAGGUAUUUAUAUAUUUUUGUAGCUGUUGUUAAUGGAAUUUACUUCAAGAUUUGGAUCUCAGCUUGAUUGUUAUUGGUGUAUAGAAAUGUUGCUCAUUUUUUUAUAUUGGUUUUAUGUUCUGAAACUUCAUUGAAUUCUUUUAUCAAAUCUAGGAGACUUUUGGAGGAAUCUCUGGGGUUUUCUAUGUAUAACAUUAUAAUAUCAGCAAACAGAUAAUUUAACUUCCUCUUUUCCAAUUUGAAUAUCUUUUCUUUCUUUCUCUUUCCUGGUUGCUCUGGCUAGGACUUUUAGUAUAUGUUGAAUGAGAGUGGAGAAAGUAGGCAUCCUUGUCUUCUUCCAGAUCUUAGAGGAGUGCUUUCAACUUUUCCCCAUUCAUUAUGAUGUUGGCUGUGGGUUUGUCAUAUAUCAUUUUUGUUAUAUUCCUUCUUUGCCUAUGAUAUGACUUGGAUCUCCCUUCUAGAUUUCAUGUUUAGAUGUAAUUCUCAUUGUUGGAGGUGGUACCUGGUGGGAGGUGUUUGGAUCAUGGGAGCACAGACCUCAUGGCUUGGUGCUGUCCUUUUGUGAGUGAGUCCUUGUGAAAUCAGGUUGUUUAAGACUGUGGGAACCCCCACCCCUACUCUCUGUUGCUCCCACUCUCACCAUGUGACGUGCCUGCUCCUGCUUCACCUUCCUCCGCAAGUAAAAGCCUCCCUAGAAGUAAAUGCCAAUGCCAUGCUUCCUGUACAGCUUGCAGUACCAUGAGCCAAUUAAACCUCUUUUCUUUAUAAAUUAUGCAGCCUCAGAUACUUCUUUAUAACAAAGCAAAAAGAGCCUAGAUUUUUUUAGGUUUUUUUGUUUGUUUGAAACAGGAUCUUGCUCUGUCCCUUAGGCUGGAGUACAGUGGCCUAAGUCAUGGCUCACUGCAGCCUCGACCUCCCAGGUUCAAGUAUUUCUCUUGCUGUAGCCUCCUGAUUAGUUGGGACACACCACUAUGCCUCACCAAUUUUUUAAUUUUUUGUAGAGAUGGAUUUCACCAUAUUACCCAGGCUGGCUUCGAACUUCUGGGCUCAGGCAAUCCACUUGCCUUGGCUUCUCAAAGUGCUGGGAUUACAGGCAUGGGCCAACACACCUGGACUAUGUUUGAUUUUUGUUUAUUUGUUUUUAAUUAUGAAGGGAUGCUGAAUUUUAUCAAGUGCUUUUUCUACAUGUAUUGAGGUGAUCAUGUGGUUUUUGUAUUUAGUUCUAUUUAUGUGGCGAAUCACAGUUAUUAAUUUAUGUUGAAUCAUCUUUGCAUCCCUGCAAUAUAACCCACUUGAUGUGAUGUAUUAUCUUUUUAAUGUACUGCUGGAUUUAGUUUGCUAGGAUUUUGUUGAGGAUUUUUGCAUCUGUGUUCAUCAGGGAUACUGAUUUGGAGGUUUUUUUUUUUUCCUUUUUUUUUUUUGUGGGCCCUUCCCUGGUGUCAGGGUGAUGCUGGCUUUAUAGAAUGAGUUACGGAGGAGUCCCUCCUUGAUUUUUUUGGAAGAGUUUCAGGAGAAUUGGUAUUAGUUCUUCAUUGUAUGUAUAGUAAAAUUUGGCUGUGAAUUCAUCUGGUCCUGGGCUUGUUUUUGUUGUUGGGAGAUCUGUUAUCACUGAUGCAGUUGUACUACUCAUUAUUAGUCUUUUUAGGAUUUCUGUCUCUUCCUAGUUCAGUCUUAGAAAGUUUUAUGUUGCCGGUUUUAACCAUUUCCUCUAGGUUUUUUAGUGUGAGUGUAGAGAUGUUCAUAGUAGUCUCCAAUUAUCUUUUGUAUUACUGUGGUAUCAGUUGUAAUAUCUCCUUUUUCUUUUCUGAUCUUGUUUAUUUGGGUCUUCUCUUUUUUCUUGGUUAGUUGAGCAGUCUGUUCAUUUUGUUUAUUUUUUUCAAAGAAUCCACUUUUCAUUUAUUUGAUUCUUAUUAUUUUUGUUGUUCUCGAUUUCAUUUAGUACUGCUCUGAUCUUUAUUUCUAUCUUUUUGCUUGCUUUGGGUUCUUGUUUUUCUAGUUCUUGAGGUAUGAUGUCAGAUUGUUAAUUUGUGAUCUUUCUGGGUUUUUUAAAUGUAGGCAUAUAAUGCUGCAAACUUCCCACUUAGUGCUGCUUUUGCUAUAUCUGAGAGGUUUUUCUAUGUUGUGUCUCCAUGUUCAUUUGUUUGAAAAAAUUUUUAGAUUCCUAUUUUAAUUUUGUUGACCCAAAGGUGAUUUGGGAGCAAGUUAAUUUUUAUGUAUUUGUAUGGUUUUGAGAGUUCUUCUUGGAAUCAGUUUCUAGUUACAUUCCACUGUGGUCCAAGAAGACACUUGAUAUGAUUUUGAUUUUUAAAAAUUUAGUGAGACUUGCUUCAUGGUCUAAAGUAUGGUCUGUCUUAGAGAACAUUUCAUGCACUGAUCAGAAGAAUGUAUAUUCUGUGGUUGUUGAAUAGAAUGUUCUAUAAAUGUCUACUAUUUGUUGAUUUCUUGUCUCAGUGAUCUGUAAUGCUGUCAAUGGGAUGCUGAAGUCCCUCUUUGUGAUUAUAUUUCUGCCUCUUUUCUUAGAGUAGUUUUUCUUUAAUUUUCUUUUCUUUUUCUUUUUACUUAUUUUUGUUUCAAGGCACUAUCUUGGGAGGUCCUGUGAACAUGUGCCCCAGUAGUAGUUGUCCUGUGAAUCUGGGUACCUCCUGUAUCAUUUACAUAUAUAUAUUUAGGAUUGUUAUACCUUCCCAUUGACUUUAUCCCAUUACCAUUUUAAAAUGACCUUCUUUGUCCUUUUUCACUGUUGUUGAUUUAAAGUCUGUUUUAUCUGAUACAAAUAUAGCUACUCCUGCUUGCUUUUGGUUUCUGUUGGUGUGGAAUGUCAUUUUCUACCCCUUUUUCCUUCAAUCUGUGUUAGGUGGGUUUCUUAUAAGCAGCAUAUUACUGGAUCAUUCUUUUUAUAAGACCUGUAAGUUUUAUGUUUUGUCUGUUUUUAUGAUGUUGAGCAUUGACCUUUUGUUUCCAUGUUUAGAACUCCCUUGAGCAUUUCUUGUAAGGCUGGUCUAAUGGUGAUGAAUUCCCUUAGCAUUUGCUUGUCUGGGAAAGAUUUUUCUCCUUCGUUUAUGAAGCUCAUUCUAGCAGGUUAAAAAAUUCAUGGUUGACAGGUUUGUUUGUUUGUUUCCUUUAGUAAGUCUGAAAAAAUGGGAUCAUGAUUUUUUUUUCUAGCUUGUAAAGUUUCUGCCAUAUGUCCACAGUUAGUCUGAUGGGAUUUCCUUUAUAAGUGAUUAGACACUUUUCUCUUGCUGAUUUUAGGAAUUUUUUGCCUUCAUGUUAUCAUUAGAUAGUCUGAUGACUAUAUGUGUUGGUGAAGUCAUUCUUGCACUGAAUUUUCCUAGAGUUCUCUUGGCCUCUUGUAUUUGGAUGUCUAAAUCUCUAACAGGAUUAGGGAAGUUUUCCUCAGUUACUUCCUCAGAUAGAUUUUCCAAACUUUUUGCCUUUUCUUUUUUCCUCAGGAAUACCUAUGACUUGUAGGUUUAGACAUUUUAUAUAACCCCUAUACUUCUCAAAGGCUUUGUUCAUUUUUGAAAAUUCUUUCCUUAUUUUUGUCUCACUUGACUAAUUCAAUAGACCUGUCUUCAAGCUCUGAGAUUCUUUUUUCUGCUGGGUUUAGUCUACUGGUGAAGCUUUCAACUGUUUGUUUGUUUAUUUAUUUAUUAUACUUUUAGUUCUGGUAUACAUGUGCAGAGAGUACUGGUUUGUUACAUAGGUAUACACAUGCCAUGGUGAUUGUUUGCUGCAUCCAUCGCCCCGUCAUCUACAUUAGGUAUUUCUCCUAAUGCUAUCCCUCCCCAAUCCUCCCACUCCCUGCAAUUCCUCCCCUAGCUCCCUACCCCCCAGGCCCCAGUGUGUGAUGUUCCCCUCCCUGUGUCCACGUGUUCUCAUUGUUGAACACCCACGUAUGAGUGAGAACAUGCAGUGUUUGGCUUUCUGGUCUUGUGUCAGUUCGCUGAGGAUGAUGGUUUCCAGUUUCAUCCAUGUCCCUGCAAAGGACAUGAACUCAUCCUUUUUUAUGGCUGUAUUGUAUGGUGUAUAUGUGCCACAUUUUCUUUAUCCAUUAUUGAUAGGCAUUUGGGUUGGUUCCAAGUCUUUGCUAUUGUGAACAGUGCCUCAAUAAAUAUAUGUGUUCAUGUGACUUUAUGAUAGAAUGAUUUAUAAUCCUUUGGGUAUAUACCUAGUGAUGGGAUUGCUGGGUUAAAUGGUAUUUCUGUUUCUAGAUCCUUGAGGAACUGUCACACUGACUUCCACAGUGGUUGAACUAAUUUAUGCUCCCACCAACAGUGUAAAAUUGUUCCUGUUUCUCCACAUCCUCUCCAGCAUCUGUUGUCUCCUGAUUUUUUAAUGAUAGCCAUUCUAACUGGCAUGAGGUGGUAUCUCAAUGUGGUUUUGAUUUGCAUUUCUCUAAUGACCGGUGAUGAUGAGCAUUUUUUCAUGUGUUUCUUGGCUGCAUAAAUGUCUUCUUUUGAAAAGUGUCUGUUCAUAUCCUUUGCCCACUUUUUGAUGGUGUUUUUUUUGUUUUUUUCUUGUAAAUUUAAGUUCUCCAUAGAUUCUGGAUAUUAACCCUUUAUCAGAUGGCUAGAUUGCAAAAAUUUUUUCCUAUUCUGUUGGUUGCCAGUUCACUCUAUUGAUAGUUUCUUUUGCUGUGUAGAAGCUCAUAAGUUUAAUUAGAUCCCAUUUGUCUAUUUUGGCUUUUGUUGCCAUUGCCUUUGGUGUUUUAGUCAUGAAGUCCUUGCCCAUGCCUAAGUCCUGAAUGAUAUUUUAUCAUUUCUUUGGUGAUUUUUUUCAUUUCCAGACUUGAUUUUCAUUUCUUGGUGUUGAUUUUUAGCUUUCUCUUAGAUCUCACUGAACUUCUUAGGAAUUAGUAUUUUUAAUUCUUUAUCUGGUGUUUCAAAGAUUUCAUUUUGGUUAAGAUCCAUUGCUAAAGAUUUAGUUUGAAUCUUUGAGGGUAUCAUACCACUGUUUUGUAUUCUUCCAGAGUUGUUUUGCUGUUUCCUUCUUGUAUAAUUAGAUAAACUAUCUCUUAUUAUUAUUUUUGAAUUUACUUUCUUUUGGACAGGAAUUUUUUCCUCUUAAGGAUAUAACUGUAAUAUAUGUUAUGUAAGAUCAUUUGGCUUUGGUUCUGGGUGCUUCCUUGGCAGACACUCUGUGUGAGUUCUUUGAAUAUAGCCUUUGUGUGGUGGUUUUCUGAUAUCUUAGUUGUAGUAGCAGUGUACUGGGUAUAUGAGCAGUAUUAUAGCUUCCUGCAGGGCUGAGAUGGCAGCAGUCCCAAGAAUCAUCUCAUUACACAGCACUGUGCACUUGUGUCAGCAGAUUUUCUAUUGGGUUGUGCAUUUCAGCCUCAGCAGAUGGGCAGGUGCUUAAUCUUUGUUUACUGGGAAAAGCACUCUGUUGCUUCAGGCAGUGGGCUGGGCUGUGGAAUGUACAGUGGCUUGAGCUCUCUGCCCACCCUCUAGCGGGGGACAAAUCAUGGCAGAGAUGGACAGCCAGGCCUGCCCUUGGAUUCCCCAAUGGUCAGUGCAAGCAGUAAUCCUGAUGUGGGUGGCAGGGAAGCUCCUGGUAGGUACAGUGAGGUCUCUGCAGUGAGGCAGGGAGCCAUCACAGCUCCAUAGCCUGGGCAGGCAGAAGUGUGAUCUCCCUUCCUAUCAUGCCCAUGUCCCCAUACUCAGAACACUCAAACUUGUCAGACACCACUGUCUGUCUCCGGACUGCAAUGUAGCUGAGAGCCAUAAAAGAUGACUACCCCAUGGCUUGCUGUCAGAAUGUCUUUGUUUCGAAAUCUUCUCCCUCAGUCCAAAACACACAGCUUUUUGGCUUUCCUUCUCUCCCUUGCAGGAACACUCCUGCUCUGUAUGGAGAGGGGAAGAGGUUCUCACCUUUUACACAAGCUUAGAUAUGGUGGACUGAUUGCCAGUAAGACCACAGUCACCCCUGUCUGCCCCAGAAAGUUUGUCCUCUGACAUGCUCAUGCCAGUUUCCUGUGGGAUCAGCCAUGGAUAUGUCUACAGCAGUGGGGGUACGGAAGAGCCCCCAUCUCCAUGCCUGGGUCUGAACAUUCACCCCAGGUUGGCCCCUGGGAUGAAAUCAUACUUGCAGUCUUGCAGAGCCAAGCACAUUGCCCACAUCUUUGCUGAAUGCAGCACAGUCACUCACAGCCCACAGGUGGUGAGCUUUUGGGCACAGGAAAGUGUGUGUUCUGGUUUCCUUUGUCCCUGUGGGCACUCCCUUGGUCACCACACUUGUUUUUCUCUUCGGGGCAGCACUUGCUUAGGAACCCUGCAGCUCACUGGGUCCAGCCAGCCCUUUGCUGCUAUCACAAUCUAAGCAGGUGCCAGGGAAUAUCUAUGGGGCUCUGUUGAUUUGGAGACACAAAGGCUAAGGUUCCCUCAGCAGGACACAGACCUCUGAUGGCUGUGUUCCCAGUAUUGCGCCCUAUUGCUGCUGCUCGAGUCCAGGGGCAGAGUAAGCAACCCAGUGCAAAUUGGUAGUCUGGUGCAGUGCCUUCAAUAAGUCCCCACAUCACUGCCCACACCAGUGUCUGGGUUUGCAGGGGUAGAAGAGCUCUCUGACAGUUCAGAUACCAACAGUUUGUCACAGGGGAACAAGAAGCCCAAAACACUCCCACCUACCCUUUCAACUAAAUACCAAGUCCCUCAGGAUUUCUAGCUGAUCUCUGCCAGCCUCUUGCUUCCUUCUUUUUCUGUGCCCCAGUUUUUUCUCAUGAGUUCUCUACUAGGCUCGAGCACUCUCUGCUUGAUAGUCUAUUCAUAUUAAAUUGGUUAUUCACUUGUAACUUUGGUUCUUCUUUCUGAAGAGAACUGACAUUGGACAACUCUAGUCAUUCAUCUUGAACCUUCUCCCAAAGGAUAGUAGUUGAUUGUGCAUACACACCACAUUCCCCUUAUCCAUUUAUCUGUUGAUGGAGAUUUAGAUUGAUUCCAUAUCUUGGCUCUUGUGAGUAGUGUUGUAGUAAAUGUGGGAGUACAGAUAUCUCUUUGAUAUACUGAUUUCUUUUGGAGACAGCAGUAGAUUUGCUCGGUCUGAUUUUUUUAUUUUGAUAAAAUAUACUCAACUUAAAAUUUACCAUUUAAGCGUACAGUUCAGUGGCAUUAAGUACAUUUAUAAUAUUGUGCGGCCAUCUCCACCGUUCAUUUCUAGAACCUUUUCAUCGUCUAGAAACAGAAACUCUGUCUAGUAACAGUAAUCUUUUCCCAUCUCCCCAGCCCCUGGUAACCUCUAUUUUACCUUCUGUCUCUAUGAAUUUGCCUAUUCUGGGUAACUCAUAUAAGUGGAAUCACACAAUAUUUGUCCUUUUGUGUGUGGCUUAUUUCACUAAGCAUGAUGUUUUCAAAGUCCAUCAUUGUUGUAGCAUGUAUCAGAAUCUCAUUCCUUUUUAUGGCUGAUAAAAUUUCAUUUUAUGUAUAUACUACGUUUUCUUCAUCUAUUUGUUUGUUGAUGGACAUUUAGGUUCUUUCUGCCUCUUAACUAUUGUGGAUAAUGUUGCUAUGAACAUUGCCCUAUAAGUAUCUGUUUGAGGUCCUGCUCUCAAUUCUUUUGGGCGUAUACCUAGAAGUGGAGUUGCUGAAUCAUAAGUAAUUUUAUGUUUAACUUUUUGAGGAUGUGUCAGACUUUUCUAUAAUAAUUGUGCCAUUUUCCAUUCCCACAAGCAGUGUACAAGGGUUCCAAUUUGUUAAUAUCCUUGCCAACUCUUAUUAUUUUGUUUUUUGGUUUUUGUUUUUUAAGUAAUAGCUAUCAUAGUAGGUAUGGAGUAGUAUCUCAUUGUGGUUCAAAUCUUUUUUAACUUUAAAAUUCUUUCAUUGCAAAGACUAUAUCAAAUAGACAUUUAAAGAGUUAUUUUUGACCCAGAUUUUGUUUAUAGUUCCUCUCUUUCUUCUUUUCUCCAAAUAUAAGUAGCAGCCAAUUUAGUCAUGAGAAAGGUAACAACUUAUUUCUUUAAUCUGUAAUUUAUUGUAAAUAUAUCAGGUUCAGUUUGUGUAAACACUUGUAUUUCCUUAGUCUUGUAUGAGGUAAUCUGAUAAUGGAAUGAACUUAUUCAUAUAUUCAUUUGAAAAAUAAUGUGCAAAGUAUUUUAAGUGCUGAAGGUUCAGUAAUAGUAAAUAAGAAAAAUGAAGGCUGCUAUUACAUGAAGUGUUCUAGUUGGGGAGACACAUUAAACAAAUAUAAUUUCAGGUGGUGAUGAGGUGAUGAAGAAAAAUAAAAAUGAAGCAGAGGAGAGGUGGUAUGUGCAGGUGCUACUGUAGAUAAGCUAGUUUUGGAGAGCUUCCCUGAGGAGCUAAUAUUUGAUCAGAGACUCAGUGAUGUGAAGAUGGAAACUAUUUGAAGGUUUGGGAAGAAACAUUCCAGAUAGAACAUACACCUAGUAGAAAGGCCUUGAUCAAGGAAUAAGUUUGUGAUGUUCAAGGAACAGUAAAAUGUAUAUUUAUAAACCCUAGGGAAACCACCAAAAUCUUUUAAGAGAAAUAUAUGUAUAAUUAAGUAGCAAAUAACAGAGAUAAAAUUGAGUGAUUUAAAAAUGUAUUUAAUCAGAUGGGAAAAAGAAAAAAGGAACAACAAGUAAAUGGAUCAAUUAGAAAACUUCAGAAGAUUAUAGAUUUUAUUCUAACCAUAUUAAUAAUGAUAUUAAAUGUAAGUAUUUUAAAUAUACCAAAUAUAAGGCUGGAUAAAAAGUCAAAACCUAUUCUAAGAAACUUGCUUUAAAUUCAAAGAUCUUGGUAGGUUAAAAGUAAAAGAAUGCACUGGCAGUGAACAAUUAGAGAAGGAAAUUAAGGGAAAAAAAGUCCAUUCACAGUAGCUUCCAAAAGAAUAAAGUGCGUAAGAAUAAAUUUAACCAAGAAGGUAAAGACUUGCAUGCUGAAAGCUGAAAUAAUGUUUGUAUAUCUGUCAAAAUAAAGGAGACAUAAAUAAAUGAAAAUAUAUCUCAUAUUUGUAUAUGGGAAGUCUUAAUAUUAAGAUGUCAAUACAAUUCAAAAUCACCUACAGAUUCAAUCCUAUCAAACCUAUCGAAGUUCCCAUGGACUUUUGCAGAAAUGCAAAAAUUGAUUCUAAAAUUCACAUGGAAUUGCAAGUGGCCUUGAAUAGCCAAACAAUCUUGAAAAGAAAGAACAAAGUUAGGGGACUCACUCUUUCUGAUUUGAAAACUUAAUACAAAGCUAGAGUAGUCAAAGUAGUACUGGCAUAAGGGUAGACACACAGAUUAAUGGAAUAGAAUUUAGAGUCUGGAGGUAAACCCAUACAUACAUCUGUGGCCAGUUGGUUUUCCGCAAGGGUGCUAAGAACAUUCAUUUAGGAAUGAAUAGUCUCUUCAACAAAUGAUGCUGGGAAAACGGGAUAUUCUCCUGCUAAAGAAUCAAAUUAGACUCCUAACACACACUAUAUACAAAAAUUAACUAAAAAUAGGUCAAUAGUUGAUAGAUUUUACAGUUUUGUUUUAGGCAGAGUCUUUCUCUGUUGCCAAGCUGUAGUGUAAGGGCACAAUCACAACUCACUGCAGCCUUGACUUCCUGGGCUCAAGUGAUCCUCUCACCUCAGCCUCCCAAGUAGCUGGGACUAUAGGCAUAUGCCACCAUUCCCAGCUAGUUUUUGUAUUUUUUAUAAAGACCGGGUUUCUCCAUGUUGCCCAGGCUGGCCUCAAGCUGAACUCCAGUGAUCUGCCUGCCUCAGCCUCCCAAAGUGCUGAGAUUACAAGCAUGAGCCACCAUGUCCAGCCAAUGUUACAAUUUAAAAAUAACAAUUUUUAUGGUUAUAAAACCGUAAAACCCUUAGGAGAAUACAUGGAGAUAAAUCUUUAUGACCUUGGAUUUGGCAUUGGUUUUAGAUAUUGCUUCUUAGGCACCAAAAGGCAUGAGCAACAAAAGAGAAGAUAAAUUGGACUUCAUCUAAAUGAAAACUUUUUGUGCAUCAAAGGAGAUUAAGAAAGUGGAAAGGUAACCUAUAGAAUGGCAGAAAAUAUUUGCAAGUUGUAGAACUGAUAAGGAUCUACCAUCUAGAGUAUAUCAUGAACUCUUACAACUCAGCAACAAAAAGACAACGCAGUUAUAAAAUGGGCAAAAGACUUGAGUGGACUUUUCUCCAAAGAAGAUAUACAGAUGGCCAAAAAGCAAAUGAAAAGAUGUUCAAUAUCAUUAGUCGUGAGGGAAAUGCAGAGCAAAACCAUGAUGAGGUGCCUCUUCAUAUCCAUUAUAAUGGAUGGCUGUAAUUUUUUAAAAAACAUGUUGGCAAUGAAGUGGAGAAGAUGAAACCCUCAUAUAUUUUUUGAUAGGAAUAUAUAAUGAAAUAUAAAGCUGCUGUGGAAAACAGUUUGGCAGUUUCUCAAAAAGUUAAGCAUAGAAUUACCAUGAUACCCUGCUAUUCAACUCAUAGGUAUGUACCCAAAGUAAGAGAAUGUUUGCACUCAAACAAGUACACAUAUAUACGUUUGUAGUAGCAGUAUUCACAGAAAAGUAGACUCAGCCCAAAAGUCCAUCAGUGAUGAAUGGAUAAGCAAAUUGUUGUAUACACACAAUGGAAUAUUAUUCAACCAUAAAAAGGAAUGAAGUACUAAUACAUGCUGUAAAGUAGAUGAACUUCCAAAAUCUUAAGCUAAGUGAAAAAAGCCAGACACAAAAGAUCACAUAUUGUAUGAUUCCAUUUAUAGGAAAUAAUCUAGAAUAGAUAAAUCUAAAGAGAACAGAACAUAGAUUAGUGAUUUCCAGAAGGUGGUGGUGGAUGAAGGACAAUAAACUGCUUAAUAGGUAAAGGGUUUUACUUUAGAACAAUGGAAAUGAUAUGGAACUAAAUAUGGAUGGUUGUACAACAUUCUUAAUGUAUGGUAAGACCCUCAUUUGUUCACUUUAAAAUGGUUAUUUAAGGCCAGGCAUGGUGGCUCACACCUGUAAUCCCAGCAAUUUGGGAGGCCGAGAUGGGCAGAUCACCUAAGGCCAGGAGUUUCAGACCAGCCUGACCAACAUGGUGAAAUCCCAUCUCUAUUGAAAAUAUAAAAUUUAGCUGGGCAUGAUGGUGCAGACCUCUAAUCCCAGCUACUUGGAAGACUGAGACAUGAGAAUUGUUUGAACUUGGGAGGUGAAGGUUGCAGUGAGCUGAGACUGUGCCACUGCACUCUAGCCUGGGCAAUAGGGAGAAAUUCAAUCACGCUCCCCCCCACUAAAAAAUGUUUAUUUGACCCCCUGCCUUUCCUCCAUGUACCCUUCUUGCCACCUUCAUCUUCUCUUUUGCUGGGUGACCAGGAAGGAAGAAGCUUUUACUCAAGAUGGCUAAAAGUGACUCCAAGAAACCAGAGGGAAAGAUGUCUGCUUCUGCCUUCUUUGUGCAGACAUGCAGAGAAGAAUGUAAGAAAAACCCAGAGGUCUCUGUCAAUUUUGCAGAAUUUUCCAAGAAGUGCUCUGAGAAGUGGAAGACAAUGUCUGGGAAAGAGAACCCUAAAUUCGAUGAAAUGACAAAGGUAGAUAAAGUAUGCUAUGAUUGGAAGAUGAAGGAUUGUGAACCAGUUGAGUGAGGCAAGAAGAAGGACCUUCAUGUUCCCAAAAGGCCACCAUCUGGAUUUUUCCUUUACUGUUCAGAAUUUUGCCUCAAGAUCAAAUCCACAAACCCUGGCAUCUUUAUUAGAGAUGUAGCAAAAAAGCUGGGUGAGAUGUGGAAUAACUUAAGUGUCAGUGAAAAGCAGCCUUGCAUCACUAAGGCAGUGAAGCUGAGGGAGAAAUAUGAGAAGGAUGUUGUUGACUUUAAGGCUAACAGCAAGUCUGGUACAAAGGGUCCUGCUAAAGUUCCCUGGAAAAAGGUGGAAGAUGGCAAAGAGGAUGAGGAGGAGGAAGAGGAAGAAGAAGGUGAUGAUGAAUAAAAAACUGUUUAUCUUUCUCCUUGUUAAUUCCUUAGAGUAGGGGAAUGCUGUAAUUGACACAUCAGUUGUUUGAGAAAUGUCUGUUGCCUCAUUAGGUUUAAUUAUAAAUUUCUAUCACAGUUAUAUGAGAGAGUGCUCUAAAAUUUGUCAGUGGUUUACAUGAAGUGUCCAUGUGCGUCUGGAACACUCUGAAAUUGUAUCAAAGUUGUAUAUAUUUCCAAACAUCCUAAAAAUACAAAGAUAAUCUUGUGUUUUCCUCACUCUAUGCACUUUGCUGUUGGUGUGACAAGGCAUUUAAAGAUGUUUCUGGCAUUUUUUAAAGCAUUUGUAAAGUAGUGUCAACUAUAGGUUAUUAGCAGAAAUCCAGUUAUCAACUGUACAUAUAUAUUGUUUGUAAAAAGAGCAAAACAACCAAGACAAACACUUGGUGCUCAUUCCUUGGCACUGAGCCUGUGGGGACACCACCUUUUGGAGGGGUCAUUGCUUAGAGUGUGCACUGUGAGGCUAGUCCUGUUUCCCCUGCAAUGUGUAUCCAUUUAGCUUCAGCUUGUCCUGUUCCUAUAUGGUAAUAUAACACUCUGCUACCAUUCUUAACUGUGGACAAAGAGGGGUUAGCUAGCCUGAGAAGUGUUUGGAUUUUUUUAGUUAAACUUUUUGAACAAGCUAUAGAACUGUUGUCAGCAAAAUGAAGAGCCACUGCCAUCAAUGAAAGUUCAAGAACCUUCUGUACUUAAAUGUGAUUUUCAGCAUUCUGGGGUUUUUCUUGGUAUGUUUAGAAUGCUGAAAUGUUUUUGAAGUUAAACAAACAGUAUUUAAAAUGAUUAUUAGAAUUUUGCUUCAAUGAAUUGUUUUUAAAAAGAUGAGGCCAGGCGCAGUGGCUUACGCCUGUAAUCCCAGCACUUUGGGAUGCUGAGGCAAGCAGAUCACCUGAGGUCAGGAGUUUGAGACCAGCCUGACCAACAUUGAGAAACCCCAUCUCCACUAAAAAUACAAAAUUAGCCAGGUGUGGUGGUGCCUUCCUGUAAUCCCAGCUACUCAGGAGGCUGAGGCAGGAGAAUCACUUGAACUCGGGAGGGUGAGGUUGCAGUGAGCCAAGAUCAUGACAUUGCACUCCAACCUGGGCAGUAAGAGAGAAACUCUAUCUCCAAAAAAAAAAAAAAAAGAUGAAAUAAAUGACAGUAUAGAGCUUAAGGAAACAUGACACAUUUGAGUAAUUGCAGUAGAAGAUGAGUGUAUGGGGGAACAUAUAAAGUCCCAGUACUAGAACCCAUUGGUGAGGGUCAGGGUAGAACCAGCAACAAGUGAUCUGGUUUGCAUGAGGAGCCUGGGAGGAUUAGGAAAUUCACUUACAUCUGGGUUUGGGCAGGUCUUGAUUAGAGUUGUGGUUGCAUUGAGAUUUACAAGGGAGAAUGUGACAUGAAGUCAAGCAGAGCAGGUUGGGUGGCAGGAAUAGAAGUGAGUCUCAACAGAUUAUCAGACCAGUGGCCUAUAGAACUAUAGCCCAAAGGCAAGGGGAUUAAGAAAUAAGAGACAUGAAUUUGGAAUACCAGUGUUUAGUAGAUUAAUGGGAGAGCAGCUUAGAGCGUGUGCUGUGAGGAUGAAUAUGGGGGCAAUUAUCCACAGCUAAGAUUAGAUGUAAUUUGGGGAUGUGAUAUUUGGAUAGGAUAGCUCAAUUUAAUGUGCCGGAAUAGAGCAAACAUAAGAUUCUUUUUGUUCUUCUAGUUAGAAAUAAGGUUGGUCCCAAAAUAUCAGUGAAUCUGAGUCUGUAGGUAGGGGUGAAGUAGUCUCAGUUGCAAAGAUUAGAAAUUACAGAGGCCAAAGUAGGUUGCUGUGUAGCUAUUGGAAAUGCAUAGAGCUUGAUAACUAAUGACAGUGACUUUUGCCCACAGUGAAUUUCUAGGAGUGAAUGAUGGUCUGCUUAUUAUUAUUGGACACCAAUAUUUAAAUUUCUUUCUUUUUUUUUUUUAAAGAUGGAAUCUUGCUCUGUUCACCCAGGCUGGAGUAUAGUGGCAUGAUCUUGGCUCACUGCAACCUCCGCCUCCCAGGUUUAAGCAGUUCUCCUGCCUCAGCCUCCUGAGCAGCUGAGACUAUAGGUGCAUGCAACCACGCCCAGCAAAUUUCUUGUAUUUUUAGUAGAGACAGGGUUUUACCAUAUUGGCCAGGCUGAUCUCGAACUCCUGACUUCAUGAUCCACUCGCCUCAGUCUCCCAAAGCGCUGGGAUUACAGGUGCAAGCCACCACACAUGGACCAAUAUUUUAAUUUCAAAUGGAAAAAAAUUAAAAGGAUGAAAAGGGUAUCAUAUGGAAAUCUAAGCAAAUAAAAGCCUGGAGUGUCUGCAUUAGUAUCAUGGACAAGGUAGACUUCAGAACAAGGAAUAGCACCAGGAGUAAAGAGGACUAUCUAUAAUGAUAGUUCACCAAGAAGACAUAACAGUCCUAUUUAAGAUGAUGUGUGCUUAGGAAUGUAUGUCACCUAAUACAUGUAUGCUAAUAGGAACAUUAGACUGAACUGAUAGAACUGAAAGGUAGAGUGAACAAAUUCACAAUUACAGUUCAAGUCUUCAGCACCCCUGUCUCAGUAAUUGAUAAAGCAAGUAGGUAGCAGAUCAGUAUGGUUAUAGAAGACCUGAACAGUACUAUCAUCCAGCCUGCCCUGAUAGAUAUUUAUGGAACACUGUACCUAAUAACAGCAGAAUACAUAUUAUUUUCAAGCAUACAUGGAAGAUGUAUAAAUAUAGAACAUAUUCUGGGCCAUAAGAGAAACUUUAUCAAAUUUGAAAUAAAUGAAAUUAUACAAAGGAUCUUUGCUGACUCUAACAGCAUUCAGUUAGAAAUUAAUAAUAGGUAUCUGGAAAAUCCCCUAAUAGUUGGAAAUAAUACAUUUUUACCCAUGGGUCAAAGAGGAAGUCUAAAAGGAAAUUAGAACAUAUUUUAAGUAAAUGAAAAUGAAGACACAACAUCUAAAAAUUUGUAGGAACCAUCUAAUGCAAUGUUUAGUGAAAAAUGUAUUAAGUUCUUAUAAUAUGAAGUGGAAAAUGUAUUAAGUGUAUAUAACAUUAGGCAAGUCAGUAAGUCUCAAAAUCUAAGCUUCCACCUUAAGAAACUAGACAGAUAAAGCAAAUUCAAGCUAACCAAGCAGAAUGGACAAAUAAAAAAAAGUAGCAGUUAAAUUGAAAAUAAAAGUUGAGAAAAUUUGUGAAACCAAAAGCGGGUUUCUUGAAAUGAUCAGUAGUAAACUUGACAAAUCUCUGUCCAGACUGACUAAUUAAGAUGGAAGAAAAACCAAUGUCAGGAAUGACAUUAACUUUUUACAGACAUGGCCCAGUUGUCUUGUUUCAUAUUCUAGAUUUGUCUAAUUCCUUCCUCCUAGUGUCAUUUUAUUUCUUGUAAACUAGACUCAGUUAAACAUUUAGAUCAUAGAUGAUGUUGUAAACUUCUUUUUGCUUUAAAUCAGGAAGGCACAUGAUAUAAAUUGUGCCCACUAUUAGUGAUGCUGAGUUUGAUUUCCAUGCUAGGUUUGGUUAUCACAGGGUCUCUCCCUUGUAAAAGGUAUGAUUUCAUGUUUGCAACUAUUAAGUGAUCUGUUGGAAAUAUUUUUGCACCAGAUAACUAUCUUGUUCUCCGUCUACCUUUUACCUAAUGGUUUUACCCUCCACAGAUGAUCCUUACGGAAUCAGUUAUUACAUUAGGUUUCCAAAAUGGUGAUUUUCAUAUUCUCUCAUUUUUCUACAUUUAUUAGCUCUAAACAAGAAUCUUUCUCUUUUUUCCCUUUUAAUAUCUCUAGCUUCCUCUGACUCAUUAUGGACUCUAUUAUGUUACUAAAAAUUUGUUGACUUUUAUUCAGUAUUUCAUAUUAUUCUUAAUAGUUUUAAUCCUAUUGGUACAAUGAUAUGCUAUAGUUAUCUUACAAUAGUGCAUUAAACUUUUGAGUAGGAGUUUUUGAAAGGUAGAGUUUAUUUUUAACUAAUUUGAGCACUGGCAUUCUUUAACAAGUGUUUCUGCAGUUCCAGUUAUAGAAUGAUUGUCUUUAAUAGGUCACUACCUCCAUUUUACACUGGCACUUGAUAGUUUGAACCUAAUAUUGUUAGUUUUCAAAAUGAUUUGAAGGCCAGGCACAGUGACUCAUGCUUGUAACCAUGGCACUUUGAGAGACAAGAUGGGAGAAUUGCUUGAGGCCAGGAGUUCAAGACUAGUGACAUAGCAAGACCCUGUCUCUACAAGAAAUUUAAAAAAUUAGCCAAGCAUGGUGGCACGUGCCUAUAAGUCCUAGCUACUGAGGAGGCAGAUGUGGGAGGAUCUCUUGAGUGAUCAUAGACGAUGACACUGCACUCCAGAUUGGGCGACAGAGCAAGACCCUGUCUCUCUUAAAAAAAAAAAAAUUGAGUUAAUUUAUUAUUGAGUUUGGUAUUUAGUGCACUAAAUAAUAAAUUAAAUAAAUAAUUUAAAACUAAGCAUAAGAUCAAAGUGAGCAUACAGAUUAAACUGUCCCUUCAAGUAUUUUACAUGCUCCAUAUGAGUUUUUCCAAGAAUCCCCUACACGCAGAAAUCUUCCAAUGAUACGUCAUACAGUUGCACAUUGGACUCUUCCUAAUGUAGUGUGGAACAAAUGUGUUUAUGUUGGACAGCUUUUUCUAAUGAAACCAACUGUCUGAAUCUAGCUUGAUCUAUUUAAAAGCUUUUUUACCUACCUCUGACUGCUUAUCAUUCAGGUAUUUUUAUUACGCUGUUUUGUCGAGCUGUUCUUGGUCUUCUCUUUCAGGUGUUUUUAUAUGCAGUUUAGUUCAGCAUAAGUAAGGAGGAAUUUGAGUUAAAAGUUCGCUGAAUGCUGACAUGACUGCCUUUUGAAGUUCUUGGGACCUUCAUACUAGAAAGGGAGACUAGACAGAAUUCUUCUGACCUUCCCUCCCUUUUCUGUAAUUCUAUAGAGAACAUCAAGGAAUUACGUAGGACUUUUUUUUUUUUUUGAGACAGAGUUUUGCUCUUGUUACCCAGGCUGGAGUGCAACGGCGCGAUACCUCCGCCUACUGGGUUCAGGCAAUUCUCAUGCCUCGGCCUCCUGAGUAGCUGGGAUUACAGGCAUGCACUACCGUGCCCAGCUAAUUUUUUUUUUUUUUUUGUAUUUUUAGUAGAGACGGGGUUUCACCAUGUUGACCAGGAUGGUCUCGAUCUCUUGACCUCGUGAUCCACCCGCCUCGGCCUCCCAAAGUGCUGGGAUUACAGGCGUGAGCCACCACGCCCAGCUUAUGUAGGACUUUUAAGAACCAAGGAUUUGAUAGGAAUAUAAACCCACCUUACCUGGAUUAAACACAUAAAUAAAUGUUAAUAAAAUUCAAACUACCUGUUUAACACUGAAGUUGUGAAUUCUUCUAGAUAAUGUGCUUUAGAAAAUGUUUGUUCAGUAGCAUUUAGGAAUUACCCACACCUGAUACACCUGGUGGGUUUGUUUUUCUUUAGGAACAUGGAAAUUAGUUGAUACAGGUCUCUCUAAAAAUCCAAGAUAGAUGACUUUACACAUACAAUUUGGUAAAUUCUUCAACUUUUGGUCACUAUACCUAUAAAUCUGGACAGAGAUUUUUUUCCAGAACCAAUUUUGACCUUAGUCUAAGGAUAAAAUGUUUACAUUCCUAUGUGAUCAUAUUUUCCUUUUAGUUUAAAUAAUAAGGGAGGGGUUACUUUACAUUUUCUUCAGCAUUAACAACAAAAAAUUUUAUAGUUACAUAAAUAACCAGAGGUAAAUAUCUUCUUAAAGGAUGUAUGUAAUUUUUGGAUGUUGAGCACAAAUCAUAUAAAAAUUAUAUAUUUUUCAACAAAUUUAGUGUAGGAAAUAUUUAAAUUGUGCAAUCAUAUUGCUUGGGGUUUUAAAAAUCCUGUUUACAGCAUGUGGUAGGGAGGAUUAUAAGCAUCUUUUUGAAGUCAUAUGCUGAGGGAGAGCAAGAUAUACUUUUUAUUUUUUUCUGCUGUAGUUUUGUGGUCUAGAAACCUAUUCCAGAGUACUUGCUUUGUGUAACUUUUUUUCAGAUGCUUUUGGAUACGUUGGUCCAAAUGUGCCAUCUUCCCAUAUUUUUACAAAUUUUGUUUUGGAACAAAUGGAAACAUUGUAUCAUUAUUUUGUUUUGGGAAAGUGCUUCAAGAUUUCUGGUUGGGCAUUUCAAAUAGAUUAACCAUCACUUUUAUAGAUUUUUUUUCCCCCGCAGGAUUCAACUUCCACUUCCCAUAUUUAAUGUCAAAUAUAUAAUACAGGGGUUUUGUUGUUAAACCAAGAGUUAACUAGCUGAUUCAUUUAGCAGAUAUAUUUUGCUCACCUACCUAUGAAAAACACUGUGUGGUUCUGUUAACCAGAACCAAAUGUUUUUAAACAUUUAAAAAAUUAAUUGCACAAUUAAUUUUUUAAAAAAUUUUACCUUAAAUUCUAGGAUACGUGUGCAAAACAUGCAGGUUUGUUACAUAGGUAUACAUGAGCCAUGGUAGUUUGCUGCAUCUAUUGACUCAUCCUCUAACUUCUCUCCUCUUCCUCCCCACCCCCCAACAAGCCCUGGUGUUUGUUGUUCUCCUCCCUGUGUCCAUGUGUUCUUAUUGUUCAACUACCACUUAUGAGUGAGAAGAUGUGGUGUUUGGUUUUCUGUUCCAGUGUUAGUUUGCUGAGGAUGAUGGUUUUAUGUCCCUGCAAAAGACAUGAUCUCAUUUCUUUUUAUGGCUGCAUAGUAUUCCAUGGUGUUUAUGUACCACACUUUCUUUAUCCAGUCUGUCAUUGAUGGACAUUUGGGUUGGUUCCAAGUGUUUGCUAUUGUAAAUAGUGCUGCAGUAAACAUACAUGUGCAUAUGUCUUUAUAGUAGAAUGAUUUAUAUUGUUUUGGGUAUAUACCCAGUAAUGGGAUUGCUGGGCCUAAUGUUAUUUCUGGUUCUAGAACCUUGAGGAAUCACCAUACUGUCUUCCAUGGUGGUUGAACUAAUUUACUUUACCACGAACACUGUAAAAGCAUUCCUAUCUGCCCACAGCCUCACCAGCAUCAAUUGUUUCUUGACUUUUUAAUAAUCACCAUUCUGACUGGCAUGAGGUGGUAUUUCAUUAUAGUUUUGAUUUGCAUUUCUCUAAUGAUCAGUGAUGUUGAGCUUUUUUUUUCAUAUGUUUUUUGACCUUGUAAAUAUCAUCUUUUGAGAAGUGCUGUUCAUAUCCUUUGCCCACUUUUUGAUGGCUUUUUUUCUUGUAAAUUUGUUUAAGUUCCUUGUAGAUUCUGGAGAUUAGACCUUUGUCGGUUGGGUAGAUUGCAAAAAUUUCCUCCCAUUCUGUAAGUCACCUGUUCACUCUGAUGAUAGUUUCUUUUGCUGUGCAGAAGCUCUUUAAUUCGAUCCCAUUUGUCAGUUUUGGCUUUUAUUGCCAUUGCUUUUGGUGUUUUCAUUAUGAAGUCUUUGCUCGUGCCUAUGUCCUGAAUGGUAUUGCCUAGGUUUCUUCCAGGGUUUUUAUGGUUUUGGGUUUUACAUUUAAGUUUUUAAUCUAGCUCGAGUUAAUUUUUGUAUAAAGUGUAAGGAAGGGAUCUGGUUUCAGUUUUUUGCAUAUGGCUAGCCAGUUUUUCGAGCACCAUUCAUUGAAUAGGAGAUCCUUUCCCAAUUGCUUGUUUUUGUCAGGUUUGUCAAAGAUCAGAUGGUUGUAGAAGUGUGGUGUUAUUUCUGAGGUCUCUGUUUUGUUCCACUGGUCUGUAUGUUUGUUUUGGUACCAGUGCCAUGCUAUUUUGGUUACUGUAACCUUGUAGUGUAGUUUGAAGUCAGGUAGCAUGAUGCCUCCAGCUUUGUUCUUUUUGCUUAGGAUUGUCUUGGCUACACGGGCUCUUCUUUGGUUCCAUAUGUAAUUUAAAGUAGUUUUUUUUUUUCUAAUUCUGUGAAGAAUGUCAAUGGUAGUUUGAUGGGAAUAGCAUUGAAUCUAUAAAUUACUUUGGGCAAUAUGCAAAAUUUAUUAUUUAGAUUUGUGAUAAGUGUUACAAAAGAGUUGAGAACAGGGUUCCAUGAAAUGUUUGGGUUCCUGAAAGGAACAUAUAAAUGUUGUAUCUUGAACUUAAUUAAAAGCUUAAUGUAUAUUUAAAUUCAUAUCUGUCCAAGUUACUCACUUGAAUGUGAAAUGUACUGUUCUAGGAAUUUCUUAAUACAAGAAUAUUAUGUGAGAUCUGUAUGCUUAGAUUUUUGUAGAAGUUUAGAUUUUUUUAGUAUUAUAUCAUUAGAUUUUACAAAAGUAUAUAUUAAAGAUAUAUUAAGCUCUUCAAGACCUAUAUGGCUUAAAGGUAAGGAACAUGGACUCUGUAAUACAAACUCUCAAUUAAUAGCACUAUCAAUUGCUGUUUGAACUUGGGGCACCCUAUUAGUUUCCUUAUUAGUAAGGUGGUAUUGUGGUGAAGGUUAAAGGCAAAUACAAAGUGCUUAACAUGUCUGGCACAUAGUAAGCGCUCAGUAGACGUUAGCUGCUAUCAUAAUCAUUAUUACUGUCAAACAUUAAAACCUGUUUAUAAAACUGUUUAUUUUCCUUGUGGAAAAUAGAAUAAAUUGAAACUGCAGUGGCUAGCUUCAGAUAAUUUAUAGUUCACAGCCGAAUCUAUUCAUGUUGUCGUUUUAAUAGGAAUUCUGCUACUCAUUGGUUGUGUGCCUUUGAAUAAGUUAUUUAACCUUUCUGUGCCACAGCAUGUCCUGUGUUUAACAGAGGUAAUUAUAAUAGAAAGUUAUUGAGACUUAAGUGAAUUGAUACUCUGGAAAAUGCCUGGUACAUAGUGAGUGUUCAGUGAAUGGUAGCAAUUAUUAGGAGUAUUAUUAACAUUAUUCCAUUAUCACAAUUCUACCAGUUUGCUUAGCCAAUGUCAUAGGCUGCCAAUAACUAAAGCCAAAACUUACAAAGAGCUAAAAAUGAUACAGUAAAAAUUUUCAUAGACUAAAUAUUAAAAGAAGUAUCACCUUCCUGACCAAAUUUAGAUCUGCAGAAAUUUGAACAGGAAAGUUCAGAAAUGGUAGAAAUAAUGCCCAAAAAAGAAAAUUCAAUUCAGGAGUUCUAAUGGGUCAAAUUUGGACUGGAACAAACAACAACAAUAAAACAUCUAGUUAAUAAAUUUAAACUUAUUUGCAAAAUUUACCCAUUAAGAAUUGAUCCUAAUGAAAAUACCAAUAAAAGUCGAUGUGGAUAGAAUUGGACAGGGCUAAUUGGUAUAUAGGAAAAUUGGUAAUGGAAUGAAGUUGGCUUCAUGGAAUUAGAUUCUUUGUUAAUAUUAAAGCGUAUACUUUUCAUUAACAUGUUCACAUUAAUAAUCAUAGAAUCAAAACUUUCUCAGGCUCAAAACAGUAGCUGCAGAAAACACCUACCUGAUCCAGUUGGUGGAAUUGUAAAAAUGCCUUCUAUUCAUUACAAUCUAGUCUGAGAGGUAGCAUAAUAUAUUAAAUAACAAUACCCACAGUAAGUGCUGCACUGGUUAGGAGGGAGUGUAUAUGAGACCACUGAAGUAAUCCAAAGAAAGAGAUGAGGGCAGGAAUAAAAAUAACGGCAAUGAAGAUGAGAGGAGCAAAUUAACAAAAUAACUGGAAGAAAAAUUAGUGAGAUAUUGUGAUUGGGUGGUACGGGUUGAAUAGAAGAGUUUUGACUUGAACUCUUGUGAGAUUGGGGUGUCCUUAACAGGAUAGUAAAUACAUGAGGAAGAAAAGAUGGAGAGUUCAGUUUUGACAUGUUGAAUAUGAGAUGAAUAUGAAGCCAGCCAGAUGGAAUUGACCAGUAGGAAGUUGUAAAUGUGGAUAAAUGUGGAUCUGUAGCUUAGUAGAAAGGUCUUGGCUGGAAAUAUGGAUUUGAGAGUCAUCACAAAUCCAUACUUGGAUCCUCUCCCCUCCAUUCUCCUCCUCUCUUCUCCUCUUCCUCCUCCUCUUUCUCUUCUUCCUCCCCUUUCUCACCUUCUCCUCUUCCUACUUUCUCCUCCUCUUCCUUCUCCUCCUCCUCCUCCUGCCGCUUCUCCUCCCUCUUUUCCCCUUUUUCUCCUUGUCUCCUCCCCUCCCCUCCUCUACUCUCCCCUCCUUUUUCUUUCUCUUUUUCCCCCCUGCAAGUUUCUAUCAUUACAUGCCUCCUGUCUCUCUGUCUCUGUUUCUUUCUACCUUCCCCUUUUUACUGUUUUAUAAAUUGUUCCUUGGUGAUUUUAUUCAUUGUCUUUGUAGACAAUAUAUAGAUCUAGACAAUAUAUAGAUCUGAUACUUCCUAAAUACAUAGACUCUACAGACAGUACCUCAAAUAAUGUAGGGAUAAUUAUAAAAUAAGAAAAAAAGGAAAAAUUGAGAGACAACACAGUGAUGAAACCCUUGAGACUACGGAUUGAUAUAUACACAUACACAUACACAUACACAUACACAUACACAUACACAUACACAGUUACAUGAAGUAGAAUUCACAGGGAAGACAGAAAAUAGGCAGGAGAUCAACAAUAGUAAUGCCUGAAAAUCUAAGGGGAGGAGUUAUAGGUAAGAGUGACCAGUGUGUUCGAUGUCCUAGACUGUCCAGUGAAGGUAAGAGCUGAAUAAAGGACAAUUAUAUGUUUUUGAUUUAAGGAAUUACAUGACUUAAAGUGGUGAUUUGGGGCACUCUGGUGCCAGCAUACACAAUGGGUCAAAAUGGAAAUGCAGACAUCAGAUACUAGGGUAAUGGUGGGAAAUGAAAAAAAUGACAAGUGCAAGAUUCUAUAGCCAAAAAAAAAAAAAAAUAGCUUAUUGUUCCAUGACAGGCAGCAACACUAGGGGGCCGUGUAAUGGAUUUUAGGCCAGCGGCAAAUAGAGAAUUCAAGGAAAAGCAGUGAUUUGGGGAAGAUGACAAUCAACCUUUUAAUUCAGUUUGAUUUUGAAUAUGGAACAUUUGUGUGGAAAUGACCACAAGUCAGAAGCAAGAACUUCUGAGAAUGGUAAUACUUGGUAUUAGAGAUCCAGUAUAGUCUCUUACAUUGAAUUAAUGAUCAUAAAAAUAGCCCGGGAAUUAGAGUACCUUGUAGGAGCAGAGAUUCUUAAGUUGAAAUAUAUGGAAGCUUCAGAGAAGUCUGAAAUUGUAUCUAAAAUACUGUGAAUACAAUUUUUUUUUUUUUUUUGGAAAAGAGAGUCCUGUGGACCUUAUAUGAUUCCCAAAGAGUCUCAAAGUGACUCAAGGGAUAAGAGAGUGAAGCAGGUGACUGAUCAUACAGGCAAGAAUAAGCAUCAAGAUGAGAGAACCAAGAUAAAACUAGGAUAAAAAGUUACAGAAAAUGACAACAGAGGGAAAGUUGGUGAGAAAAUUAAAAGAGGUAUAAAAAAUCUUAAAAAGGUACAGAUUCAUGUUUUAUCUGUUAUAUCACCAGAAAUACUCUGUAUUCCUUAGACCCUGUAUAAUUUGCAGUGUGUUAAUUGGUCAUCAUGAUGAUGACCUGAGAAUAAAGAAUUAUAUUCUGUCGACUCUGUCAGUGGCAAAAAAUUACAUAAUGUGUUUAGAAUUAUUUUAAUCCAGAACACUAAAAUAAUAUUUUUAGUGUAUAAAAAUCGUAAGAUAUAUAUUUUUGAGAAUGACUUGUUAUCAGAGCAUUUCAAUUCUCUGUAAAGUUUAAUAAAGAUUUGUUCCCAAUAUUACCAUAGUUUUUUGUACUUCAUUGGAUUAGUUGGUUUAUACCAAUCAAGAAUUCCAUUCUCAUAUGGGCCUUUUGAGUUCAGUGUUUUCUUGGGGAUCUCCUAAUAUAAAGUCUUAGCAAGCAAACCUGUACUACAGUUGCCAGGACUUUAAGUUGAGG